UUUUUUAUAGGGGGAUUCAAAUAAGUUUUUGAAAUUUAAUUCUAUGGUUCGAUUCCGUAUAAAAAAA
Molecule: transfer RNA, 67 nt
Filed under: Petrobiona massiliana
Lineage: Eukaryota; Metazoa; Porifera; Calcarea; Baerida; Petrobionidae
Description: tRNA-Ser
Source: RNAcentral